RNAcentral lists this ribosomal RNA (401 nucleotides) under uncultured bacterium. Its description in RNAcentral is "bacterial SSU rRNA". It matches the Rfam family "Bacterial small subunit ribosomal RNA", at positions 358 to 771 of the family's 1533-position model. The record is from RNAcentral.
GGAAUGCUGCACAAUGGGCGCAGGCCUGAUGCAGCGACGCCGCGUGAGGGAUGACGGCCUUCGGGUUGUAAACCUCUUUCAGGCGGGAAGAAGCGAAAGUGACGGUACCUGCAGAAGAAGCGCCGGCUAACUACGUGCCAGCAGCCGCGGUAAUACGUAGGGCGCAAGCGUUAUCCGGGAUUAUUGGGCGUAAAGAGCUCGUAGGCGGUUUGUCGCGUCUGCCGUGAAAGUCCGGGGCGCAACUCCGGAUCUGCGGUGGGUACGGGCAGACUAGAGUGAUGUAGGGGAGACUGGAAUUCCUGGUGUAGCGGUGAAAUGCGCAGAUAUCAGGAGGAACACCGAUGGCGAAGGCAGGUCUCUGGGCAUUAACUGACGCUGAGGAGCGAAAGCAUGGGGAGCGA